RNAcentral lists this ribosomal RNA (560 nucleotides) under Montanelia aff. tominii SDL-2014. RNAcentral's name for it is "eukaryotic LSU rRNA". It matches the Rfam family "Eukaryotic large subunit ribosomal RNA", at positions 71 to 643 of the family's 3401-position model. Lineage: Eukaryota; Fungi; Ascomycota; Lecanoromycetes; Lecanorales; Parmeliaceae. The record is from RNAcentral.
GGGAUUGCCUCAGUAACGGCGAGUGAAGCGGCAACAGCUCAAAUUUGAAAUCUGGCCCCUUCGGGGCCCGAGUUGUAAUUUGUAGAGAGUGUUUCGGGUGAGACCACGGUCUAAGUCCAUUGGAACAUGGCGUCAUAGAGGGUGAGAAUCCCGUAUGUGACCGUGGAUCGAGCCCAUGUGAAGCCUCUUCAACGAGUCGAGUUGUUUGGGAAUGCAGCUCAAAAUGGGUGGUAAAUUUCAUCUAAAGCUAAAUACUGGCUGGAGACCGAUAGCGCACAAGUAGAGUGAUCGAAAGAUGAAAAGCACUUUGGAAAGAGAGUCAAACAGUACGUGAAAUUGUUGAAAGGGAAGCGCUUGCAACCAGACCUGUCCGUAGGUGAUCAGCCGCUGUUUUCAGCGGUGCACUCGCUCUGCGAUCAGGCCAGCAUCGGUUUCGGCGGUCGGAUAAAGGCCUUGGGAAUGUAGCUUCCCUUCGGGGGAGUCUUAUAGCCCUCGGUGCCAUGCGGCCAGCCGGGACCGAGGACCGCGCUUCGGCUAGGAUGCUGGCGUAAUGGUUGUAA